Molecule: long non-coding RNA, 1390 nt
Organism: Vespa crabro (European hornet)
Lineage: Eukaryota; Metazoa; Arthropoda; Insecta; Hymenoptera; Vespidae
Exons: 2
Source: RefSeq, a predicted model, not a curated record
AAGAAAAUUUGAUGAAAGAUUAUAAAUAAAGAAAUAAUAAUAAUAUUAAUAAUAUUAAAUAUUAAUAUUAAUAUUAAUAUUAAUAAUAAUAUUAAUGAUAAAAGGAAAAGAAAAAAUAGAAAAGAUGCAGGAAGCUUGAAAUUUCGCUAUUUCUUCGUUCUUAUGGAACAGGAACGCAUGCAAUCUUCUAGCUCGUCGUGUCGGUCGACUCCUCUCUCUCUCUCUCUCUCUCUCUCUCUCUCUCUCUCUCUCUCUCUCUCUCUCUCACUCUCUCUCUCUCACUCAACAUCAGCGAAUCAGCCAAUCGGCGAUUCGCUGCGCCGUGCCGCCUUUCGAUUCCACGACGACAACGACGACGACGACGACGACGACGACGACGACGACGACGACGACGACGACACUACGACAACUACGUCGACGACGAUAUGACGAUGACUACGACUACGAUAGAGUCGAUCUUUUUCGCAUGUUCCGAAAAAAAUCUCAAAGCCCUCCUUUCUUCUCUCCUCUUCCCAUCAUUCUUUCCUUUUCUCCUAUUACUACUCUUCAUCGUCCUCUAGGAAAACGACGCUUUCAACGAUGAGUACGGCUGGUGCGCCGUAAGCCUGUAUUUUAAAUGCGACAUUUGCGAGUAUCAGAAAUUAUUGAUCUGCCAGAUAUACGCGUGCGUGUGUUCUCUCUCUCUCUCUCUCUCUCUCUCUCUCUCUCUCUCUCUCUCUCUCUCUCUCUCUCUCUCUCUCUCUCUCUCUCUCUCUGUGUGUGUGUGUGUGUCUCUCUCUCUCUCUGUCUUUCUCUUUCUUGGUGUCGACGGAACUCUACAGGCGUAAUUCUCGAGCGAUAACAUGACCCAGGUAUAUAAAAUGAUAUCAAACGAUUAUACCGAUUUAUUUCGAUGUAAAUUGUAAUAUUUGGAAAAAAAGAAGAGAAAAAAAAACCAAAAAAAGAAAGAAAAAGAAAAAUAAAAAAUAAAAAAGGAAGGAUAAAAGAGAGAGAGAAAGAAAAAAAAAAAAAGGAGAAGGAAAAAGGAAAAAAACAAAAGGUAAAUCUAUUUUAAGUUAUCGGCCAUUACAAAUGGAAAUUAUUAUCACUACGUGAUAAUAAAUUAAUCAUUGAUAUCGCUCUAUUCCGGAUAACGACGUUUAAUGUAUGUACAUAUUUUCUACAAUGUGUCUACUCUCUUACUAGUUGGUUAGAGUACACACGGAAGCAUUUCAAGACCCGGUGACCUCGUUUUCCUAACUACCGUCUUACAUUCGAGGAGCCAUUUCAAGUCGCAACAAAUUAUAUUAGCUGCGUCGAAAUCAUUAUACUUUAAGGAUACAGAUAUAGACAGUAGAGUGAUAAAGGAUUAAAGAAGAAAAAGGGGGGGGGGGAGGAGGAGGAAAAAAUG